This is an RNA transcript of Salmo salar (Atlantic salmon), 2162 nucleotides long. It is a transcript of the gene named 26S proteasome non-ATPase regulatory subunit 11, with no coding region annotated. NCBI's taxonomy places the organism in Eukaryota, Metazoa, Chordata, Actinopteri, Salmoniformes, Salmonidae. The record is from RefSeq and is a predicted model, not a curated record.
AAAGUUGAUUGACAGACCGGAAACAACCUGUCAUUGAGAGGAGGCAAGAUGGCAGCCGCGGCAGUGGCUGAGUUUCAAAGAGCCCAGUCUCUUCUCAGUUCAGACCGGAAUGCAUCUAUCGAUAUUUUACAUUCAAUAGUAAAGCGGGACAUCCAGGAGAGCGAUGAGGAGGCAGUGUGUGUCAAAGAGCAGAGCAUCCUGGAGCUGGGUGGUCUGCUGGCUAAGACGGGCCAGGCUGCAGAGCUGGGCGGUCUCCUGAAGUAUGUUCGGCCGUUCCUGAAUUCCAUCAGCAAGGCCAAGGCGGCGCGGCUGGUACGCUCGCUGCUGGACCUGUUUCUGGACAUGGAGGCAGCUACAGGCCAGGAGGUGGAGCUGUGUCUGGAGUGCAUCGAGUGGGCCAAGGCUGAGAAGAGGACAUUCCUCAGACAGGCCCUGGAGGCUCGUCUCAUCUCUCUGUAUUUUGACACAAAGCGGUAUCAGGAGGCGCUUCAUCUAGGCACCCAGCUACUUCAGGAGCUGAAGAAGAUGGAUGACAAGGCCCUGCUGGUGGAGGUGCAGCUGCUGGAGAGUAAGACGUACCACGGCCUCAGCAACCUGCCCAAGGCCCGUGCCGCCCUCACCUCUGCACGCACCACCGCCAACGGCAUCUACUGCCCGCCCAAGCUACAGGCCGCCCUGGACAUGCAGUCAGGGAUCAUCCAUGCAGCAGAGGAGAAGGACUGGAAGACGGCCUACUCUUACUUCUACGAGGCCUUCGAAGGCUACGACUCCAUCGACCACCCCAGAGCGAUCACCGCUCUCAAAUACAUGCUGCUCUGCAAAAUCAUGCUCAACCUUCCUGAGGAGGUCCAAGGUCUUGUCAGUGGAAAGCUAGCCCUGCGGCACGCCGGGAGACAGACGGACUCUCUGAAAUGCGUGGCGCAAGCCAGCAAGAACCGGUCGCUGGAGAAUUUUGAAAAGGCCCUGACAGAGUACAGAGGUGAGUUGAGAGAUGACCCCAUCAUAAGCACACACUUGACCACGCUCUAUGACAACCUGCUUGAACAGAACCUGAUCCGUGUCAUCGAGCCUUUCUCCAGGGUACAGAUAGAACACAUUUCCACCCUCAUAAAACUCUCCAAGGGAGAUGUCGAGAGGAAGUUGUCACAGAUGAUUCUAGACACAAAAUUUCACGGUAUUUUGGACCAAGGCGAAGGUGUGCUGAUCAUCUUCGAUGAGCCUGCAGUAGACACAACGUAUGAGGUGGCCCUGGAGACCAUUCAGAACAUGAGCAAAGUGGUGGACUCACUCUACAACAAAGCCAAGAAGCUCACAUAGAGGAGACCACCUGUAACCCAGCACAGAGCAUGUGAAGCACUCUGGGAUGGGGAGGGGUGUUCGGACUCAAACAACCCAGCAAGCAAAUAAACCAACUGACCAACCCACAAACUGACAUGGCUAGGCUGUCGCCCCCCCACCCCUCUUCAAUUCAGACUGGACGGCAGUCUGGGUCUGCUGGCUUUGGGCCAGAGUGGACAGAGAACGGACCACUGUCCCUGCGAACACGCCACAGGAAAAGGACACAGUCAUCGCCACACCGUUUCAUAGUUCCCAGAGCUGGGUCAAUAUUAUUUGUUUUAUCCUGCCUGGGGUACCAGGAGGGUGUGGUUUCCCUUUUUGGGACUUUUCUAUUGGUUCCAGCUCAAUCGAGAACAGAUAAAGUACCUGAUAUGAUCUCUAAUACUAUUUGAAUCCAGGUCUAAUUGUUUCCCUCCCUGCCUCUAAUUCCAAUUUGUACAUAAUGUUGCCAGAUGUCUCUGCCAGGCCUGUCAUGCUAACACUCUGCCCCCCCCCCCUUUUAAUAUAUAUAUUUAACACUAAAUGAGAAUAAAAUAAGCCCCCAGUGUGCUUUUGUGAGUGGUGGUGGAAACGAUUGACCUGGUUGUAUGGAUUGUGACUGGCUGACUGACAGGGAGAGUGAGUUGUUUUUUUAUUCCUCAUGUAUUCAAGACUGUGGCUCAUUUGCUGAAAAAUAUAAAAGCUGUAAGGUUUGGGGACUACGUUUUGCAAGGACUACUAGUCUACCAUUUCCCAUAUGACAUAGAUAAAAGACAAGUGCUAAUAAAUGUUGAAUGUCACAGCUUAAUUUUCUGUUUGGAGGAACUAAACUAGAUGGACUAUUA